RNAcentral lists this long non-coding RNA (1187 nucleotides) under Homo sapiens (human). RNAcentral's name for it is "HSALNT0152392". The record is from RNAcentral. Lineage: Eukaryota; Metazoa; Chordata; Mammalia; Primates; Hominidae.
AUUGGGUUUGUGUUGCUGGAGAUGAGGAGACCCGUGCCCAGGUGUUGUUGCUUGUCCAAUCAGUUUAUUUUUAAAUAUAUUAACAAAAUUUAUUUCAUCACACUUGAUGAGCUCAUAUGUGUGAUUUUUUGAAUUCUCCUUUGAAUAGCUUGUAACUAUUUGAACAUCUUAUUGGUUCCAUAAUUAAUUAAUUCUUUUUCUAAUUAGCUUUUUAAAAACCAGAAUUGAUAUUAGACUAAUCAGUUUUUAUUAAUGAGGAGAUGAAAUUGAGUUGUUUGCACACUUUAAGAUUAGUGUCGUAUUGGCCAGAUCACGUCAAUAGUUGAGCAAGUGCAAAAUUAGAGCUUCUUCAGCAUAGAACUCUCUCGUGGUUCUUGAAGAUGACUUUUUUUUUUUUUUGUCUUUAAUAAACUGCUGGUAUCAUUUCAGACCACUUGCUAUUUAGGCACUUAGGAAUUUUUCACUGGAAUUCAUGUAAAGAAAGACCAUGGGCGUUUGUACUGGAUUUAGUAUUCAUCAUUCGACUGCAUGACUCACCCCUAGAGCCAUAAUUUUACUAAUGAAUUUUUCAGAUACUACUCAGCUAGCGACUGAACCUAACCAGCAACCCACCCUCAACCACUUGAUGGUCUUUUGUUCUUCUCUGUUCCUCCUGAAACUCAGUUACUCUCAGAAGGUGAUAAAUACUUGCAUUUCUUUUUUUUUUUUUUCUUCCUAGAGACAGGGUCUUGCUCUGUCACCCAGGCUGCAGUGCGGUGGCGUGAUCAUGGCUCACUGCAGCCUGAAACCCCUGGGCUCAAACAAUCCUCCCACCUCAACCUCCCAAGUAGCUGGGACUACAGACGUUUGCCAGUACACCCAGCUAACUUCUUUAUGUUUUACUGUAGAGACGGGAUCUUGCUAUGUUGCCCAGGAUGGUGUCAAACUCCCUGCCUCAAGUGAUCUUUCUGCCUCAGCUUCCCAAAGUGCUGGGAUUAUAUAUAUGCAGGCGUGAGCCACCUGUGUUCAACUCCCUAUUUUCUUUUUUUAAUAACAAUUUUAUUGAAAUAUGAUUAACAUAUCAUACAAUUCAUUUAUCAAAUUAUGCGAUUCAGGCCGGGCGCAGUGGCUAAUUCCUAUAAUUCUAAGACUUUGGGAAGCUGAGGCAAGUGGAUCGCUUGAGUUCACAAGUUUGAGACCAGCCUGGG